GAGUUCCAUUGUUGGGGCAGCAGAUGAAAAAGCAUCAGGGAUAUAUAAGGAGGAACUGGCCUGUCUAGAGUCAGAGUGAGGUCUGGGGGGCAGCUUUCUCCUAGACAGAAGUGUUGGCAGAUUCCAUUAUUCCUUGUUGAACCCUUCUACCAACCAAGUGGCAGGCCCAGACAGGUGACAAAUCUGAAUCUCUAUUAACCUGGCUUACACUAUUGGCCCCACUCUACUGAUUCCCUGACACCUUGCCCCCAAAACUUGCACACCCAUCCAAGUUG
Molecule: long non-coding RNA, 275 nt
Organism: Phyllostomus discolor (pale spear-nosed bat)
Lineage: Eukaryota; Metazoa; Chordata; Mammalia; Chiroptera; Phyllostomidae
Exons: 3
Source: RefSeq, a predicted model, not a curated record